AUUAGUCACCGUGAGGAAGCCAAAUUGGAUCCGGGAGUCUUUUUCUAAAGGCCAGUACUGGCCACAUUUUCUCCUGCCGCCUUCCUCAAAGCUGAAGACAUAGAGAGCAAGUUAAGCCUUCACUCUUCAACCAGCUGUAGAGAUGUGAAUGAACAGAAUAGCAGUCAGAAGAAGAAGGAAAUGAAGGGCUAAGGGAACUGGCAAUUCAGCAGCCAGGAAGGCACCCUUCCUCUUCAGACAAGAGGCAGCUUAAAGGGAGGUCCUCAAACACACUGUACCAUCUCCGUAUGG
This 291-nucleotide small RNA is filed under the name Rattus norvegicus (Norway rat). RNAcentral describes it as "uncharacterized LOC102553607". Lineage: Eukaryota; Metazoa; Chordata; Mammalia; Rodentia; Muridae. The record is from RNAcentral.